RNAcentral lists this ribosomal RNA (516 nucleotides) under uncultured bacterium. RNAcentral's name for it is "bacterial SSU rRNA". It matches the Rfam family "Bacterial small subunit ribosomal RNA", at positions 340 to 856 of the family's 1533-position model. The record is from RNAcentral.
UACGGGAGGCAGCAGUGAGGAAUAUUGGUCAAUGGACGAGAGUCUGAACCAGCCAAGUAGCGUGCAGGAUGACGGCCCUAUGGGUUGUAAACUGCUUUUAUAAGGGAAUAAAGUGAGUCUCGUGAGACUUUUUGCAUGUACCUUAUGAAUAAGGACCGGCUAAUUCCGUGCCAGCAGCCGCGGUAAUACGGAAGGUCCGGGCGUUAUCCGGAUUUAUUGGGUUUAAAGGGUGCGUAGGCGGCCUUUUAAGUCAGCGGUGAAAGUCUGUGGCUCAACCAUAGAAUUGCCGUUGAAACUGGGGGGCUUGAGUAUGUUUGAGGCAGGCGGAAUGCGUGGUGUAGCGGUGAAAUGCAUAGAUAUCACGCAGAACCCCGAUUGCGAAGGCAGCCUGCCAAGCCAUUACUGACGCUGAUGCACGAAAGCGUGGGGAUCAAACAGGAUUAGAUACCCUGGUAGUCCACGCAGUAAACGAUGAUCACUAGCUGUUUGCGAUACACUGUAAGCGGCACAGCGAAA